GGGCACCCUGAUCAGCAAUGCCGCGUGAGUGAAGAAGGCCUUCGGGUUGUAAAGCUCUUUUGUCAGGGAAGAAACGGUUCUGGCUAAUAUCUAGGACUAAUGACGGUACCUGAAGAAUAAGCACCGGCUAACUACGUGCCAGCAGCCGCGGUAAUACGUAGGGUGCAAGCGUUAAUCGGAAUUACUGGGCGUAAAGCGUGCGCAGGCGGUUAUGUAAGACAGAUGUGAAAUCCCCGGGCUCAACCUGGGAAUUGCAUUUGUGACUGCAUGGCUAGAGUGUGUCAGAGGGGGGUAGAAUUCCACGUGUAGCAGUGAAAUGCGUAGAUAUGUGGAGGAAUACCGAUGGCGAAGGCAGCCCCCUGGGAUAACACUGACGCUCAUGCACGAAAGCGUGGGGAGCAAACAGGAUUAGAUACCCUGGUAGUCCACGCCCUAAACGAUGUCUACUAGUUGUCGGGUCUUAAUUGACUUGGUAACGCAGCUAACGCGUGAAGUAGACCGCCUGGGGAGUACGGUCGCAAGAUUAAAACUCAAAGGAAUUGACGGGGACCCGCACAAGCGGUGGAUGAUGUGGAUUAAUUCGAUGCAACGCGAAAAACCUUACCUACCCUUGACAUGGAUGGAAUCCCGAAGAGAU
Molecule: ribosomal RNA, 637 nt
Filed under: Herbaspirillum sp. Ri2Pt_4031
Lineage: Bacteria; Pseudomonadati; Pseudomonadota; Betaproteobacteria; Burkholderiales; Oxalobacteraceae
Description: bacterial SSU rRNA
Rfam family: Bacterial small subunit ribosomal RNA
Source: RNAcentral